GAUGAAGAACGUAGCGAAAUGCGAUACGUAAUGUGAAUUGCAGAAUUCAGUGAAUCAUCGAAUCUUUGAACGCAUAUUGCGCUCUCUGGUAUUCCGGAGAGCAUGCUUGUUUGAGUAUCAGUAAACACCUCAACUCCCUUUCUUCUUGAAAUGGAGCUGGACUUGAGUGAUCCCAACGCUUUAUUCAUAAAGUGGCGGGUUACUUGAAAUGCAGGUGCAGCUGGACUUUUCUCUGAGCUAUAAGCAUAUCUAUUUAGUCUGCCUCAAAACAGAUUAUUACCUUUGCUGCAGCUAACAUAAAGGAGAUUAGUUCUUGUGCUGACUGAUGCAGGAUUCACAAUGACCGCUUCGGCUGUCUUUGUAAACUCGAUCUCAAAUCAAGUAAGACUACCCGCUGAACUUAAGCAUAUCAAUAACGGAGGA
Molecule: unclassified non-coding RNA, 423 nt
Filed under: soil metagenome
Description: partial contains 5.8S ribosomal RNA, internal transcribed spacer 2, and large subunit ribosomal RNA
Rfam family: 5.8S ribosomal RNA (bases 1-120)
Source: RNAcentral